This 465-nucleotide ribosomal RNA is filed under the name Vreelandella stevensii. RNAcentral's name for it is "partial 16S ribosomal RNA". It matches the Rfam family "Bacterial small subunit ribosomal RNA", at positions 338 to 795 of the family's 1533-position model. The record is from RNAcentral. Lineage: Bacteria; Pseudomonadati; Pseudomonadota; Gammaproteobacteria; Oceanospirillales; Halomonadaceae.
CCUACGGGUGGCAGCAGUGGGGAAUAUUGGACAAUGGGGGCAACCCUGAUCCAGCCAUGCCGCGUGUGUGAAGAAGGCCCUCGGGUUGUAAAGCACUUUCAGUGAGGAAGAACGCCUGGUGGUUAAUACCCAUCAGGAAAGACAUCACUCACAGAAGAAGCACCGGCUAACUCCGUGCCAGCAGCCGCGGUAAUACGGAGGGUGCGAGCGUUAAUCGGAAUUACUGGGCGUAAAGCGCGCGUAGGUGGCUUGAUAAGCCGGUUGUGAAAGCCCCUGGCUCAACCUGGGAACGGCAUCCGGAACUGUCAAGCUAGAGUGCAGGAGAGGAAGGUAGAAUUCCCGGUGUAGCGGUGAAAUGCGUAGAGAUCGGGAGGAAUACCAGUGGCGAAGGCGGCCUUCUGGACUGACACUGACACUGAGGUGCGAAAGCGUGGGUAGCAAACAGGAUUAGAUACCCUUGUAGUC